CGGAGCUACAGCGUGGGGUUGUGAGGCUACGGGGCGUGGAGUGCUGGACCUGCCAACACCCAGGGUGCAUAUGGAACUGGUGUGGCCAGCUGGCAAGGUUAUGAAAACUACAAUUACUACGGCGCCCAGAACACCAGUGUCACCACAAGCGCAACCUACAGCUACGGCCCAGCCUCGUGGGAGGCCGCCAAGGCCAAUGAUGGCGGCCUGGCGGCCGGGGCCCCUGCCAUGCACAUGGCCUCUUACGGCCCAGAGCCAUGCACCGACAAUUCCGACUCCCUCAUUGCCAAGAUAAACCAGCG
RNAcentral lists this long non-coding RNA (302 nucleotides) under Pan troglodytes (chimpanzee). Its description in RNAcentral is "long non-coding RNA NONPTRT008403". Lineage: Eukaryota; Metazoa; Chordata; Mammalia; Primates; Hominidae. The record is from RNAcentral.